CGCGUAGGCGGCCAUGUAAGUCAGAUGUGAAAGCCCGGGGCUCAACCCCGGAAGUGCAUUUGAUACUGUAUGGCUUGAGUAUGGGAGAGGGAAGUGGAAUUCCUGGUGUAGAGGUGAAAUCCGUAGAUAUCAGGAGGAACACCGGUGGCGAAGGCGACUUCCUGGACCAAUACUGACGCUGAGGCGCGAAGGCGUGGGGAGCAAACA
This 207-nucleotide ribosomal RNA is filed under the name uncultured bacterium. Its description in RNAcentral is "partial 16S ribosomal RNA". It matches the Rfam family "Bacterial small subunit ribosomal RNA", at positions 568 to 774 of the family's 1533-position model. The record is from RNAcentral.